Molecule: ribosomal RNA, 470 nt
Filed under: uncultured bacterium
Lineage: Bacteria
Description: bacterial SSU rRNA
Rfam family: Bacterial small subunit ribosomal RNA
Source: RNAcentral
GGACGAACGCUGGCGGCGCGCCUAACACAUGCAAGUCGAACGAGAGAUGAAGAGCUUGCUCUUCAAAUCGAGUGGCGAACGGGUGAGUAACGCGUGAGGAACCUGCCUCAAAGAGGGGGGACAACAGUUGGAAACGACUGCUAAUACCGCAUAAGCCCACGGCUCGGCAUCGAGCAGAGGGAAAAGGAGCAAUCCGCUUUGAGAUGGACCCGCGUCUGAUUAGCUAGUUGGCAGGGCAACGGCCUACCAAGGCGACGAUCAGUAGCCGACCUGAGAGGGUGACCGGCCACAUUGGGACUGAGACACGGCCCAAACUCCUACGGGAGGCAGCAGUGGGGAAUAUUGCACAAUGGGGGAAACCCUGAUGCAGCGACGCCGCGUGAGCGAAGAAGUAUUUCGGUAUGUAAAGCUCUAUCAGCAGGGAAGAAGAAAUGACGGUACCUGACUAAGAAGCACCGGCUAAAUACGUG